CCUACGGGUGGCAGCAGUGAGGAAUAUUGGUCAAUGGCCGAGAGGCUGAACCAGCCAAGUCGCGUGAGGGAAGAAUGUCCUAUGGAUUUUAAACCUCUUUUGUCAGGGAGCAAAGUCACCCACGUGUGGGUGUUGGAGAGUACCUGAAGAAAAAGCAUAGGCUAACUCCGUGCCAGCAGCCGCGGUAAUACGGAGGAUGCUAGGGUUAUCCGGAUUUCGUGGGUGUAAAGGGUGCGAAAGGGGAUUUUUAAGUCAGCGGUCAAAUCGUGGGGCUAAACCACAUCCAGCAGCUGAAACUGGGGAUCUUGAGUGUGCGAGAGGUAUGUGGAAUGCGUGGUGUAGCGGUGAAAUGCAUAGAUAUCACGCAGAACACCGAUUGCGAAGGCAGCAUACUGGUGCACAACUGACGUUCAGGCACGAAAGUGUGGGUAUCGAACAGGAUUAGAUACCCUUGUAGUC
RNAcentral lists this ribosomal RNA (459 nucleotides) under uncultured bacterium. RNAcentral's name for it is "partial 16S ribosomal RNA". It matches the Rfam family "Bacterial small subunit ribosomal RNA", at positions 338 to 795 of the family's 1533-position model. The record is from RNAcentral.